AUUGAACGCUGGCGGCAGGCCUAACACAUGCAAGUCGAACGAGUGGCGGACGGGUGAGUAAUAUCUGGGUAACUGCCCGAUGGAGGUGGAUAACUACUGGAAACGGUAGCUAAUACCGCAUACCAUCAGAUGUGCCCAGAUGGGAUUAGCUAGUAGGUGGGGUAAUGGCUCACCUGGGCGACGAUCCCUAGCUGGUCUGAGAGGAUGACCAGCCACACUGGAACUGAGACACGGUCCAGACUCCGACGGGAGGCAGCAGUGGGGAAUAUUGCACAAUGGGCGAAAGCCUGAUGCAGCCAUGCCGCGUGUAUGAAGAAGGCCUUCGGGUUGUAAAGUACUUUCAGCGGGGAGGCGUUACCAGCAGAAGAAGCACCGGCUAACUCCGUGCCAGCAGCCGCGGUAAUAC
RNAcentral lists this ribosomal RNA (406 nucleotides) under uncultured bacterium. Its description in RNAcentral is "partial 16S ribosomal RNA". It matches the Rfam family "Bacterial small subunit ribosomal RNA", at positions 30 to 526 of the family's 1533-position model. The record is from RNAcentral.